This 252-nucleotide ribosomal RNA is filed under the name uncultured bacterium. RNAcentral's name for it is "partial 16S ribosomal RNA". It matches the Rfam family "Bacterial small subunit ribosomal RNA", at positions 525 to 776 of the family's 1533-position model. The record is from RNAcentral.
ACGGAGGGUGCAAGCGUUGUCCGGAUUUAUUGGGUUUAAAGGGUACGUAGGUGGGCUAUUAAGUCAGUGGUGAAAGCCUGCAGCUUAACUGUAGAAUUGCCAUUGAUACUGAUAGUCUUGAGUAUGGUCGAGGUAGGCAGAAUUUAUGGUGUAGCGGUGAAAUGCAUAGAUACCAUAAGGAAUACCGAUAGCGAAGGCAGCUUACUGGGCCGUUACUGACACUAAUGUACGAAAGCGUGGGGAGCGAACAGG